Podarcis lilfordi (Lilford's wall lizard) is the source of this 102-nucleotide non-coding RNA. NCBI's taxonomy places the organism in Eukaryota, Metazoa, Chordata, Lepidosauria, Squamata, Lacertidae. The record is from the annotation of a GenBank genome assembly.
AGAGUCUGGUAAACAAGACAGAGGGCUUAAAAGCUUUUUCCAGGAAGGGUUUUCCCACCACGGAAAGUGUUUUUAAGCCCUCUUCCUUGCUUACCAGACUCU